This 498-nucleotide ribosomal RNA is filed under the name uncultured bacterium. Its description in RNAcentral is "bacterial SSU rRNA". It matches the Rfam family "Bacterial small subunit ribosomal RNA", at positions 28 to 520 of the family's 1533-position model. The record is from RNAcentral.
GACGAACGCUGGCGGCGUGCUUAACACAUGCAAGUCGAGCGGGGAACUGUGGAAUGAAGCUUCGGCAGAAUGAAGCAGUUUCUAGCGGCGGACGGGUGAGUAACGCGUGAGCAAUCUGUCCCAGACAGGGGGAUAACAGAUGGAAACAUCUGCUAAUACCGCAUAAGACCACGAGGUCGCAUGGCCUUGAGGUAAAAGAUUUAUCGGUCUGGGGUGAGCUCGCGUCCCAUUAGCUAGUUGGUGAGGUAACGGCCCACCAAGGCGACGAUGGGUAGCCGACCUGAGAGGGUGAUCGGCCACAUUGGAACUGAGACACGGUCCAGACUCCUACGGGAGGCAGCAGUGGGGAAUAUUGGGCAAUGGGCGCAAGCCUGACCCAGCAACGCCGCGUGAAGGAAGAAGGUUUCGGAUUGUAAACUUCUGUCCUUGGUGACGAAGGAAGUGACGGUAGCCCAAGGAGGGAAAGCCCCCGGGCUAACUACGUGCCAGCAGCCGCGU